CUGAGCAGCGCUGCUACCAGGGCCAUGGAGCACGCAAGAAGCUUUCCAAACGCGAGUGCCAGUUUCUUCGCAGUUCUACUCGUAUUGCUUCACUUUGUAUUGCUUUAUGCUAUGAGAGCUCAGACUCCAAGGAAAGAAGCUUCAAAAUCGAAAUUUCAUAAAUGUUCUUAAAAUAUUUUGUGGCUUUAAAUAGAUACCUAUGUCCAUAAUAUGGCCAGGUUUGUGGGAAGACACCUUUGAGUUGCAAGGAUCUCUACAAGGAAAAAACAAACAACUGCACACUAAUUUAAGAAGGCAUUUUCCUACCAAUCUUCCACACCGUGGCUACUUAAGUACAAAUGUGAUAACUACCACGAGGGCACCAGGAGGACUGAGGGCUCCUUGGGGGGUAGCAGGGCACAGCCUGGGGCCCAUGAGCCAUCCCAGCACCCAGCCAGGGAGCCCCAACUCCUGGCACAGUGCAGUGGUGGCAGGGCUGAGUCCUCCAUCUUCCGGCCCAGGGCCAAGGGCAGGGUGUGGGACAGCAGGGCUCCUAGUGCCCGCCUGACAGAACCCAUCCACCGCAGGGGCUUUGAGUCAUAGAACCAUUAAGGUUGGAAAAGAUCUCUAGGAUAUUCACGCCCAACCCAUCCCCACCACAUCCGCUGAACCAUGUCCCUCAGUGAGGCAUCUCCGUGGUUCCUGAGUGCACUGUGCACUCCUCAGACACAGCACCUCACUGCACACACACUGCCCUCACCGAGGCACGCUGGCGUAGUUCAUAAAUAUUUCCAACUGAGGAAGCAGAGAACAAUUGCAUCAUUAAGAUUGAAAAGCGCGAUGAAACAGAGGAAAACACUCUGAAUCCCUUAAUGGAAAUGAAGAGGAAAGUGCAGGUGAAACGCCCCGACAGCCACCCUACUGCUGCUCCUGGAGAAGAACAGAGCAGCCGCUUGCUGCAUGGCCUCAACCCUUCAAGGCUGUGUCGGACGGGAUGACAGUGCCCCAGGAAGUCACGAGAGGCAUUCCCAGCAUUGUUCAGCAGUAAGGCAGGAAGCGGCGUUCUGAACGGCAGGAACUGGGAAAGGUUAUCCUGGAUCACUGUGAGCUGCAGCACCAGCUGUUUGUUCAGCCAGAAUGCGACUCGUGUGGUAUUUUUCACCCUGCUUCAAUAAAUGCAGCAGCUGCCAUGCAGCCCAGGUUUGCAGAAACGCAGUGGGGCUGCAGAUGGGGGCUGGAGGCCGAGCCGUGCCGCCGGCUUCCCACGGGCUGAGCGCUGCACUCAUCCACUGCUGGAUGCUGACGGGAGGGAAAUAACCUGAGUCUCUGCACGCAGUGCCUGAGCUGAGCUGUCCGACUCCGUCCUCGUGACACAGAAGGGAACCCUGGAUUCUUUCUGCCAUGUCCUGUGAGGCAGUGCAUGAAAACAGCAUCCCCGUCUCUAAGACUUUUCAUUGACACGUGAAAUGAGGAAGUAUUUAAGGGCCAUUGCAGUGAAAGUGCAAGCACACCUGGCUCUCCAGAGGCUCACACACGUACUGUGCCAGAGCACACUGUGUGCACCCAAAGCAGAGCGCUGCAGGCAGUGCUGGAGCAGAUGGGCACAGGGCAGCCGUGGCUGCUGCUGCUGGUGGAGCUGUGCAGGGCCCCGAGCACACUGAGGGCAGCUCAGCAUUCAUUUUCUUCAUUUCAGUCACUCUGCUGAGAUCACUCAGAGUUAAUUACAGCAAUUUGAUUUGCGUCUCUUGUUCUGUUCGUGAUCCUCUGGGCUUGUUUUCUCAUUGCUAAAGGCUGCUCUGUAUCGUUAAAUGGCUUUAGAGAUGCACAGGAAGGUGUGAUGUGAAGGCUUUCAGAAAUACACGGAACAGAUCAGAGCAAGACACCAACAGCCCCCAACUGCUGGCUCUCUGGUGUGCCUCCCAGCACAGCAACAACAUGAGGCAGCUGUGAACUGCCGCUUCCUCCUGCUCCUUUUUUAACAUGUGCACACACACAAUAUUUAUAUCAAUUUACUUCACACACAUAUAUAUUUGCCUCACGUUUUCAAUACCUCACUCUCUACAAAAGAAAGCCAUCACUAAGGAGAAACAAAAUGGAUUUCCAAGAGCAGCCAUGGUCGGAGCUGAGAACAGCCGCUGCCCUGAAGGAGCACAGCAGUGGGCAGUGCUCACCUGUCCUCCUCGGUGGAAGAAAGACAGCAGCAUCCCAAAAUAUAUUUCCUACAUCUUCAUGAAAAACAAGGUGCUUUCUGAAAGCUUACUUUGUUAUGAGUACAUGAGUAAUGGAUAGCUAAUGCCUCAUUUUAACAGUCAAACAUUGAGCACUUCCAGCCAAUUCUGCUGAAGCAGGAGAAAAAGAGUGACCUAAAGGAUAGUAAGAAACACCUGGCUCUAGGCUCCAGUGUUGGUCCUUCAUUCCAUAUAAGAUGGUAAUAAAGUAAGAGCAAAAUAACCCACAGCAUCACGGCAUUAGUAUGGAGAAAAGCAGC
This is a long non-coding RNA of Gallus gallus (chicken), 2467 nucleotides long. NCBI's taxonomy places the organism in Eukaryota, Metazoa, Chordata, Aves, Galliformes, Phasianidae. The record is from Ensembl.